GCCCACGUGGCCCAAUGGAUAAGGCACUGGCCUCCUAAGCCGGGGAUUGCGGGUUCGAGUCCCGUCGUGGGUA
Molecule: transfer RNA, 73 nt
Filed under: Haliotis rufescens (red abalone)
Lineage: Eukaryota; Metazoa; Mollusca; Gastropoda; Lepetellida; Haliotidae
Description: tRNA-Arg
Rfam family: tRNA
About the family: Transfer RNA (tRNA) molecules are approximately 80 nucleotides in length. Their secondary structure includes four short double-helical elements and three loops (D, anti-codon, and T loops).
Source: RNAcentral